This is a long non-coding RNA of Cucumis melo (muskmelon), 388 nucleotides long. RefSeq lists it as uncharacterized. The record is from RefSeq and is a predicted model, not a curated record. Lineage: Eukaryota; Viridiplantae; Streptophyta; Magnoliopsida; Cucurbitales; Cucurbitaceae. The transcript has 2 exons.
AAAAGGUCUUGGUUGGGGACCCAAGCCGAAGGCCCGCAGAACAGCAAGUGCAAGCAGUUCGUCGACAUCUUGUUCGCAGUCCACACAAAAAGAGAUUGAAUUACAAGCUAAACUUCAUGAAGCUUUGGAACGGAUUGAAGUACAAGAUAGAAAUCACCAAGCAUUAGCUUCACAAGUGGAAGCUAUCAAAAAGAUGAUUGAAGACCUAACUCGUGCACAACAGGGACCACCACAUGAUCCCUAGCUCUGCGGAUCGAAGGUGUAGAAUGACGCGCAUACGCACCUCGUUGGGAGAUUGGGUCUUAUGUUUAUGUUUUUUCUAUAUUGAGAACUAUAUUUUUUUGUAGUCAACUUAUUCGUAUUAUUAAUUUUAAUUCUAUUUUUUUAA